This 415-nucleotide long non-coding RNA is filed under the name Helianthus annuus (common sunflower). Its description in RNAcentral is "sRNA HanXRQr2_Chr03g0119891". Lineage: Eukaryota; Viridiplantae; Streptophyta; Magnoliopsida; Asterales; Asteraceae. The record is from RNAcentral.
GCACCAUUCUUCUCCAUUCCUUCCUCACAGUCACCUCUCACCCUCACUGUUCGAUAACACCAUGUCGCGAAACUCGAAGACGACUCGCCGGAACCUCAAGCUUAUCACCAGAACCCUUUUCUAGUAGCCGGAGGUUGGAGACAUCGCCGGAGUAACCCGAUGACGCCGCCGGAGCUACUUAACCAUCGGAGCUCAACCGCAAGUUCGUCGGACCGGAGCUUGCCGGAGAAACCCAGUCGCCGCCGGAGAUAGAUCGAUGCUGCCAGAGAUGCGCGAAACACGACACAAAGUCAUCAGAACGUGCGGUUAAUCAUUUUCGUUCGUUCUCUUGGAAUUCUCCAUCCUUACUCUUGCGUUAUUCCACAAGAAAUCGCAACGCAAUCACAGUUGAUUUAUCAAGAUACAAGAAAGCAAG